RNAcentral lists this small RNA (475 nucleotides) under Arabidopsis thaliana (thale cress). Its description in RNAcentral is "ATSL247240". The record is from RNAcentral. Lineage: Eukaryota; Viridiplantae; Streptophyta; Magnoliopsida; Brassicales; Brassicaceae.
UAUAAUCGAAAUUUCAUCCAAAAUCCAUCAUUUUCAAACAAAAUCAAAGAGGAAAAGAGAUCAAACUAUCAAAUCUAAUAAGAAAUAAAACUCUAAUUAAACACAACACCAUCAAUCAUCAUAUAUGGAAUAGAGAUAGAUCUUUGGAUUGAUAGAAACAAAUGAAAAGGUAAAAAAGAUGGAUCUUUGGAUUGAUAGAAAGAAUGAAAAGGCAAAAAGAAGACGAAAGAUUAUAUAUGGAAUAGAGAGAAGAGAGUAAAGAGAAGAAGAAGAAGAAGAAACAAAUCAAAAGUUUUGUUUUUGUUGAAUUGAGAGAAAAAUAAAUUGAGAUGAAAAAAAUUUGAUCUGAGAAAUUAAAUUUUUUUUUGUUGAGAAUAAAAGAUCCAAAAUUGUUAUGGAUCUAGAUCCAACAUAGAGGUUGGGUUGUAAAUAAGUAAAAAACUCUAGUUUUACUUGUCUUUUAUUAUUAUUCUGA